This is a non-coding RNA of Shewanella pealeana ATCC 700345, 110 nucleotides long. The record is from Rfam. Lineage: Bacteria; Pseudomonadati; Pseudomonadota; Gammaproteobacteria; Alteromonadales; Shewanellaceae.
AUUAAUUGGUGGUGGCACUUCCCAAAUUAGCGGGUGGUGUGGAACUGUGUGCUCAGAAAACUGAGACAAGAUUCAACAAGAAAGCCCGCAUACACUGCGGGCUUUCUUGU